AGCGAACGUUAGCGGCGGGCCUAACACAUGCAAGUCGAACGCGAAAGGUCUUCGGACUGAGUAGAGUGGCGCACGGGUGAGUAACACGUAGGUAAUCUACCCUUUGGCGGGGGAUAACGUUCCGAAAGGAGCGCUAAUACCGCAUAAGACCACGGAGUCUCCGGACGCUGUGGGAAAAGGUGGCCUCUUCUUGAAAGCUACCACCGAAGGAUGAGCCUGCGUCCCAUCAGCUAGUUGGUAAGGUAAUGGCUUACCAAGGCGAAGACGGGUAGCUGGUUUGAGAGAAUGAUCAGCCACACUGGCACUGGAACACGGGCCAGACUCCUACGGGAGGCAGCAGUGAGGAAUAUUGGGCAAUGGGCGAAAGCCUGACCCAGCACGCCGCGUGAGUGAUGAAGGCCCUCGGGUCGUAAAGCUCUGUGGAGAGGGACGAAAAACCCUGGUUUCAAAUAGGCUCCAGGCUUGACGGUACCUCUUUAGCAAGCACCGGCUAACUCUGUGCCAGCAGCCGACGG
This 515-nucleotide ribosomal RNA is filed under the name uncultured bacterium. RNAcentral describes it as "bacterial SSU rRNA". It matches the Rfam family "Bacterial small subunit ribosomal RNA", at positions 29 to 520 of the family's 1533-position model. The record is from RNAcentral.